Molecule: transfer RNA, 72 nt
Filed under: Camelus bactrianus (Bactrian camel)
Lineage: Eukaryota; Metazoa; Chordata; Mammalia; Artiodactyla; Camelidae
Also listed under: 1 other name
Rfam family: tRNA
About the family: Transfer RNA (tRNA) molecules are approximately 80 nucleotides in length.
Source: Rfam by way of RNAcentral
GAGAGUAUAGCUAAGCAGUAGAGUGCAUGCUUAGAUUGCACGGGGUCCUGGGUUCAAUUCCCAGUACCUCCA